This is a non-coding RNA of Gymnodraco acuticeps, 72 nucleotides long. Lineage: Eukaryota; Metazoa; Chordata; Actinopteri; Perciformes; Bathydraconidae. The record is from the annotation of a RefSeq genome assembly.
GGGGAUGUAGCUCAGUGGUAGAGUGUGUGCUUCGUAUGUACAAGGUCCUGCGAUCCAUCCCCAGCAUCUCCA